CAAACUAUCAACCUAAUCCUAGAAGUAAUUGCGCUAAAAUCGAACUCAAUCGUAUCGUAUAAAGCGUGAUACAAAAACGUCCUUGAAAUGUGUAACUAUUUAGAGAUAGGGUUUUCAGGGGACGAUAAGAUGAAAAGUAGGGUAUAUAUUCCAAUAAAACUGACAAAUGCCAGCCUUACUAAAACUUUCUUGAUUCCUUACAGGUUUGUGGGUGCUUCGGAUGAAAUCUACACUAAUGGAAAGGAAUAUCUCACGCAGACCAUGACCGAAGCGAUGACUGGUGGACACUAGCCGGAGUCUGGGACAGGUGACUAGGAUCACAAACAACCCCCUCGGUCGGACCUAGGCCUUUACCACGCCCGAAAGGACGGCCUCUUCUAGGUACUAAUUUGGAACAAGGAUCCCUAUGGAGACUUCCUACCUGCCUAGAAAGAGCUCUAUCUAUUGGGGAAGGGUAAAUACCAUGUAGUACGGUUGACGGUAUAAUCAAAGAUGAGUACCCUAGAAAAAAAAUGCCUGCCUUUUCAAAAAAAAAACUAAUUUCCUUUUUUUUCUUUUAUUUUUAGGUAAUAUGUACGUCCGUCCGUCCGAAGGUUUAGUUUUAAGUAUUAUGUUAAGGGUCUUUGUAAGCCGUCACCUGGAGCACUGCGGUCUGCGAGUGCUUUUGAAGGAAGUCCCACGCUGGUGCAGAGAUGAGCCGUUGGUGAGCAGCGUUUUUUUUUGUUUUACUUUUAAUUAGUUUAAGCUUUAGCGUAAUGAUUAAGUUGUUUUCUUUUUGAUUAAGUUUAUAAUUAAGUUUCUUUUUUUUUUAGUUGGAAUUUAUUUUUCAAUAAGUGGUUUUAAUUCAGUUUCUUUUUUUUUUUUCACUCUUUAGAGCUAGGUAUUAAGGUAGUUUCAAGGAUAGUUUUUAAGGUAAUUUUUAAGGUUGUUUGUUAAUUCAGUUUGUAAGAUGUUUCUUUUUUUUCUGUUUAGCUAUCAGAAGCUUUUGUUUUUUUUUUCUCUUUUCUUUUUUUUUUGCAAUAAAGGAAUCGAAUGAU
Stomoxys calcitrans (stable fly) is the source of this 1037-nucleotide long non-coding RNA. RefSeq lists it as uncharacterized. NCBI's taxonomy places the organism in Eukaryota, Metazoa, Arthropoda, Insecta, Diptera, Muscidae. The transcript is spliced from 2 exons. The record is from RefSeq and is a predicted model, not a curated record.